RNAcentral lists this ribosomal RNA (254 nucleotides) under Salmonella enterica. Its description in RNAcentral is "partial 23S ribosomal RNA". It matches the Rfam family "Bacterial large subunit ribosomal RNA", at positions 1116 to 1369 of the family's 2925-position model. The record is from RNAcentral. Lineage: Bacteria; Pseudomonadati; Pseudomonadota; Gammaproteobacteria; Enterobacterales; Enterobacteriaceae.
CCAUCAUUUAAAGAAAGCGUAAUAGCUCACUGGUCGAGUCGGCCUGCGCGGAAGAUGUAACGGGGCUAAACCAUGCACCGAAGCUGCGGCAGCGACACUGUGUGUUGUUGGGUAGGGGAGCGUUCUGUAAGCCUGCGAAGGUGGCCUGUGAGGGUUGCUGGAGGUAUCAGAAGUGCGAAUGCUGACAUAAGUAACGAUAAAGCGGGUGAAAAGCCCGCUCGCCGGAAGACCAAGGGUUCCUGUCCAACGUUAAU